RNAcentral lists this transfer RNA (70 nucleotides) under Camelus bactrianus (Bactrian camel). It matches the Rfam family "tRNA". Rfam says of the family: Transfer RNA (tRNA) molecules are approximately 80 nucleotides in length. Their secondary structure includes four short double-helical elements and three loops (D, anti-codon, and T loops). The record is from Rfam by way of RNAcentral. RNAcentral also lists the same sequence under 2 other names. Lineage: Eukaryota; Metazoa; Chordata; Mammalia; Artiodactyla; Camelidae.
GGGUAAAGCUCAGUGGUAGAGCGCAUACCUAGGCUGCAUGAGGUCCUGGGUUCAAUCCCCAGUACCUCCA